GAAAUGCGAUAAGUAAUGUGAAUUGCAGAAUUCAGUGAAUCAUCGAAUCUUUGAACGCACCUUGCACCCUUUGGUAUUCCGAAGGGUACACCCGUUUGAGUGUCAUUGUAUUCUCACCCCUCACAAUUUUUUGUUGUCGAGGUCGGUGGACUUGGAUGCUUGCUGUGUGAUUCCACGGCUCAUCUCAAAUGAAUGAGUGUGACCCCCCUUUGUACGGUGUCAUCCGGUGUGAUAAGCAUCUUCACUGGAGUGUCUUGGAUGGGCAGUGUCCUUCCAAGAGCAUCGUUGGGGUGUGGUAAUGCUGCCAACCGUCUCUUUACAGGGACAUCUCUUGACAAUUUGACCUCAGAUCGGGUGGGACUACCCGCUGAACUUAA
This 377-nucleotide unclassified non-coding RNA is filed under the name uncultured Sebacinales. RNAcentral describes it as "sequence contains ITS1". The stretch from base 1 to 105 matches the Rfam family "5.8S ribosomal RNA", at positions 50 to 154 of the family's 154-position model. The record is from RNAcentral. Lineage: Eukaryota; Fungi; Basidiomycota; Agaricomycetes; Sebacinales.